CGUGUGGAUCACUGUUGGAGGGUGGACACUUAGAUACCUUAUGAAAAUUGAAUUAGCACUAUAGGUAUUCUUCUGAUCUAAAUUUAUUUUAAAUAUACUUUGAUUAAUAUAGUCAAGAGUUUCUAGGCAUUAGAGCUUCCGAUGCAUCGAAUAUUUUUAAUAAAAAUUUUAAACACCUAACCCUUCCACUGCACCACCGGAACCCAACAUUAAAACCAUUGCCUAGACCUAUGGGAUUCAUUAUAAUCUUAAAAAUAAUAUUAAGAUGCAGUAUAUAAUGAAUCAAAAUACUUAUUUUAUUAAAUAUCAACAUCAAUUACAUGAGUUUGGAAGAUAAAUUACAGAAAAUAUCCGAUCACAUCUCAUAUAUGAUUGGCUUGUAGGACAUUAUUCUUUCAAUCUCCUAUUUGCACUAAAGUCAAUCACCUCUAUACUUCAUGCCCAUACAAUCAAGAUGGCAGUCAAACUGCUACAAUGACAAGGCCUUAGUGAAUGGAUCUACUAUAUUGUUCUUGGUAUCAACUCGAUCCACGAUCACAUCGCAUCUUUCGACUGUCUCUCGAAUAAGG
Molecule: long non-coding RNA, 569 nt
Filed under: Elaeis guineensis (African oil palm)
Lineage: Eukaryota; Viridiplantae; Streptophyta; Magnoliopsida; Arecales; Arecaceae
Description: long non-coding RNA (EGUI_LNC044029)
Source: RNAcentral